This 1011-nucleotide long non-coding RNA is filed under the name Canis lupus familiaris (dog). Its description in RNAcentral is "lncRNA (ENSCAFG00845007796.1)". The record is from RNAcentral. Lineage: Eukaryota; Metazoa; Chordata; Mammalia; Carnivora; Canidae.
UUUAAUUUCAGGCCUUAUAAACUAAAGAUGUCCCCUAAAAUUAAUUAUACUUAUUAUUUUGGAUCGGCAUCUGUGAUUGGCUACAUCUGUUAGAAACUUCAUUGUGGUUCCUAAUUAAGGAACCAAAUCUAGUUGGCUGAUGGGAAGGGAAAAAAAUUUAAUUCAAAGGGAGAUGUAAUACUGUGAAAAUAACCAAAUACUUUGUCUCCACAAGGCUUUCCGGGGGAGCAGAGCUUCCCCAAUCAUCUGUAUGGUGUAUCUACUGUGCAUUUUAUUAUUUUCCCACUUGUGUCUUUCUUCCUACGUUACCGCUGAAGGUUUUACUUAACCAAUUCUCUUGAAACGCUCUUCCUCUAUCCUGCACGGUGGUAGUUCCUUCAGCCAAGACUGGGAAGUAGAAGCAUCUCCAGGGAAGAUUUUUUUCCUUUUGGUCUCCCCUCCCGUUUUGAAAUUUUGUUUUUCGUUUCUAGACACAUCAAAACGUUUAGAACUCCAAAAAAAAAAUUUUUUUUCCCCUUAGAAAGCUUCGAAAAGGGGAAAAAACAAAAACAAAACAAAAAACCCCAAACGCUAUAGGGUCGUCCCCGAGAGUAACAAGAGCGCCAGGUUAACAAGCCCCCAGCCAGGUGAUCGAAGGGAGAGGCGGUCGGUAGUUCACUGCCCCACGCCCCCAGGAGAACGUGACAUCCCCGGGUAGGUGCCCCCGAUGGCACCUGCCCAAGACCUUCUUGCGCCCAAGCCUAAGCUGUGCACUGGCCUGGAACCGAAGACCUAAAAGAAGGCCAUCACAGUCCGCACACCUGCGCCGCUCCGCCCGGCUCCCGACCACGUCGAGCAGGAAACCCCGCUACUUUCCGAGCUGCAUCUCCUCGGCUCGCCUAGACGCACCUAGAAAACAAGCAACUUCAGUGAUCGCAGACUCCGCUUUCCCGGGAAGAAAGGGCAAGGCGGCUACCAUCAGUGUCUGAUUACACAAACACACCUAGGGGCAGCUUGGGGUGUGAAGGAGGG